Molecule: ribosomal RNA, 116 nt
Filed under: Oncorhynchus kisutch (coho salmon)
Lineage: Eukaryota; Metazoa; Chordata; Actinopteri; Salmoniformes; Salmonidae
Source: RNAcentral
GCUUACGACCACACCGGCCGAGUACGCCUGAUCUCGUCUGAUCUCGGAAGCUAAGCAGGGUCGGGCCUGGUUAGUACUUGGAUGGGAGACGCCUGGAAUACCAGGUGCUGUAAGCU